Molecule: ribosomal RNA, 497 nt
Filed under: uncultured bacterium
Lineage: Bacteria
Description: partial 16S ribosomal RNA
Rfam family: Bacterial small subunit ribosomal RNA
Source: RNAcentral
GAUGAACGCUGGCGGCGUGCCUAAUACAUGCAAGUCGAGCGAACAGACGAGGAGCUUGCUCCUCUGACGUUAGCGGCGGACGGGUGAGUAACACGUGGAUAACCUACCUAUAAGACUGGGAUAACUUCGGGAAACCGGAGCUAAUACCGGAUAAUAUAUUGAACCGCAUGGUUCAAUAGUGAAAGACGGUUUUGCUGUCACUUAUAGAUGGAUCCGCGCCGCAUUAGCUAGUUGGUAAGGUAACGGCUUACCAAGGCAACGAUGCGUAGCCGACCUGAGAGGGUGAUCGGCCACACUGGAACUGAGACACGGUCCAGACCCCUACGGGAGGCAGCAGUAGGGAAUCGUCCGCAAUGGGCGAAAGCCUGACGGAGCAACGCCGCGUGAGUGAUGAAGGUCUUCGGAUCGUAAAACUCUGUUAUUAGGGAAGAACAAAUGUGUAAGUAACUAUGCACGUCUUGACGGUACCUAAUCAGAAAGCCACGGCUAACUACGUG